CAUUACUAGAGCAAAGGAUAGACAGCGCCCGCGGAGCUCGCUCCCGGGGCUACCCUACUCCCGUAGGGUUUAGAGUCGUCGGGCCUCUCGGAGAAGCUCGGUCCUGAACUCCACCCUUGAAUAAACUACCUUUGUUGCUUUGGCGGGCCGCCUCGUGCCAGCGGCUUCGGCUGUUGAGUGCCCGCCAGAGGACCCCAACUCUUGUUUUUAGUGAUGUCUGAGUACUAUAUAAUAGUUAAAACUUUCAACAACGGAUCUCUUGGUUCUGGCAUCGAUGAAGAACGCAGCGAAAUGCGAUAAGUAAUGUGAAUUGCAGAAUUCAGUGAAUCAUCGAAUCUUUGAACGCACAUUGCGCCCUCUGGUAUUCCGGGGGGCAUGCCUGUUCGAGCGUCAUUAUAACCACUCAAGCUCUCGCUUGGUAUUGGGGUUCGCGGUUUCGCGGCCCCUAAAAUCAGUGGCGGUGCCUGUCGGCUCUACGCGUAGUAAUACUCCUCGCGAUUGAGUCCGGUAGGUCUACUUGCCAGCAACCCCUAAUUUUUUUAAGG
This 545-nucleotide ribosomal RNA is filed under the name Leptodontidium sp. YT-2016. Its description in RNAcentral is "eukaryotic LSU rRNA". The stretch from base 240 to 393 matches the Rfam family "5.8S ribosomal RNA". The record is from RNAcentral. Lineage: Eukaryota; Fungi; Ascomycota; Leotiomycetes; Helotiales; Leptodontidiaceae.